RNAcentral lists this transfer RNA (56 nucleotides) under Triticum urartu. It matches the Rfam family "tRNA", at positions 10 to 63 of the family's 71-position model. From Rfam's summary of the family: Transfer RNA (tRNA) molecules are approximately 80 nucleotides in length. Their secondary structure includes four short double-helical elements and three loops (D, anti-codon, and T loops). Lineage: Eukaryota; Viridiplantae; Streptophyta; Magnoliopsida; Poales; Poaceae. The record is from Rfam by way of RNAcentral.
GUUCAGUUGGUAGAGCACAAGGCUCUUAACCUUGUGGACGUGGGUUUGAGCCCCAU